UUGUUGCAGUUAAAAAGCUCGUAGUUGGAUUUCGGGUGAGCCGACGCGGUCAGCCUUUGGUUUGCACUGCGACCGGCUCAUCUUUCUGUCGGGGACGGGCUCCUGGGCUUCACUGUCUGGGACUCGGAGUCGACGAGGUGACCUUGAGCAAACAAGAGUGUUCAAAGCAAGCCUACGCUCUGAAUUAUUUAGCAUGGAAUCACACGAUAGGACUCUGGCCUAUCUUGUUGGUCUGUAGGACCGGAGUAAUGAUUAAGAGGGACAGUCGGGGGCAUUCGUAUUUCAUUGUCAGAGGUGAAAUUCUUGGAUUUAUGAAAGACGAACUUCUGCGAAAGCAUUUGCCAAGGAUGUUUUCAUUGAUCAAGAACGAAAGUUGGGGGCUCGAAGACGAUUAGAUACCGUCGUAGUCUCAACCAUAAACGAUGCCGACUAGGGAUUGGCAGGUGUUCCAUUGAUGACCCUGCCAGCACCUUAUGAGAAAUCAAAGUUUUUGGGUUCCGGGGGGAGUAUGGUCGCAAGGCUGAAACUUAAAGGAAUUGACGGAAGGGCACCACCAGGCGUGGAGCCUGCGGCUUAAUUUGACUCAACACGGGGAAACUUACCAGGUCCAGACACGGGGAGGAUUGACAGAUUGAGAGCUCUUUCUUGAUUCUGUGGGUGGUGGUGCAUGGCCGUUCUUAGUUGGUGGGUUGCCUUGUCAGGUUGAUUCCGGUAACGAACGAGACCUCAGCCUGCUAAAUAGUCACGCGUACCCCGGUACGUGAUUGACUUCUUAGAGGGACUAUUGGCGUU
RNAcentral lists this ribosomal RNA (792 nucleotides) under Chlorosarcinopsis sp. LU30. Its description in RNAcentral is "SSU rRNA". It matches the Rfam family "Eukaryotic small subunit ribosomal RNA", at positions 610 to 1430 of the family's 1831-position model. Lineage: Eukaryota; Viridiplantae; Chlorophyta; Chlorophyceae; Chlorosarcinales; Chlorosarcinaceae. The record is from RNAcentral.